GUGAAACUUGUGUGAGGAGUGGUUCUCAGUGAAUACUUGUAUUUUUAACCCUUCUAAGACAGCGUGGAGAUUAUUUUCGGGACUAUCGUUUGCAACUAAUUGUAUUAGAAUAGUAAAAGUACGCGGUUACAACAAAAAUUAUUGUUGAAAUGUAAAAAUACGUCGCACGUCCUAGAAGGGUUAAGUUAAGCAAAAGUGAUAUAAAUAUCUUGUACAAAUGGUUGACUUCGAAGGAUGGACCUAUGACAUGGAGCUGAAUGGGAUGUGUCAAUGGGACAGGAGCCAAUUUUACUUCUAAAGACGCCAAUUCUUUGCCAUAUUGUAAUAUAUUCAUGAAAGCUGUUGACUUCGAAGGACGGACAUAUGACAUGGAGCUGAAUGGGAUGUGCCAAUGGGACAGGACGCCAAUGGAAUAGGACGUCAAUUCUAUGCCAUAUUGUAACAUAUGUAGUCAUGAAAACUCACAUAAUGUUGGAAAUGACUACAACCUUUUGAAGAUAAAUUGUAAUAUACCAACUGUUUAUGAAGGUAUAAUAUGGAUUUAUUUUCUUCAAUUCCUAAGAAAGGAGGGAUUUCUGUAAUUGCUGCUUUCCAAAACGUAAUUUCCGUUGAGUGAUGUCAAAAUUAUAGAAUAUAAUACAUUAAGUUACUUGCAACAUAACUGCACUCCAGCAAAGUGUUAACUACAUCUGUUUCCAAUAUAUUGAAGAUAUUCCUAUUUACCUGAUUAUAAUUGAAACUGGGACACCUGAGAAUCUUCGAAACAAGGAACAUUAUUUUUGUCGAUAUUGCCGUGAAAUGAAGCCAACAAUGGAUGUAUCCGUGCGAGAGGGGUUACAUUUUCGGCACAAUCAGGGGCGCGGAAGAUGUUUAUGGAUCGACCUUGAUGCGGAGUUGCAGGGGUGCCGUUAAUGUCCAUGGCCUGCGGCGACAGCGCAGGAUCGGUGAUGUGCCAUGAGGGCUCAGCUUUGUGCAACUCGCGCUGCUCCCAGACGUAACUUCGAUCUCGAACAAGGAAUGUCUCGUGCGUCGGAAGUGACUUCCAGCUCCGCAAAUACACCCUUCUGAUGUCCGGAUAAUACUUGCAGAGAAACAGACGUGUUCAUUCAUAUCUGGUGUAUAAGUGUUUAUUAAUUGGAUCUUCGCAUCAACAAACGUAAGAUUAGUUUUUUUUACUAUGAUGCUAUUUUCCGUAUUUCAAACUAAUGGUCGACUGCUUGGCCCCCCACUCAACUGAUUGCUCCAAUCUGAAAUUAACAAUCCGGAAACUAAAACGUGGGGCGACUAAUUGCUUGGAAAACGUUUGUUCGGCCAGUAAAACGCAACAUUGUUGCUAUUUCACAUUUGCACUUAAAGCUACCACAAAGUUCAAUUAUACAUAGCUUAAGAAAAUAUAAUUAUAUAUAUAUAUGCUAACGCACAAUUUGCACACUUUAUUUGUGGCAAGGUUAUGACGUUUUGUCAUGAAUUUAGAAGUUUGCUCAUUCUUAAGGGCGAAACUGCAUUAUUUACAUGAGCGUAUGCAAAUUUUUGGCAUACAUAUUCUUUUUUAUCGCCUAUAGUAUGUUAACAUAAUUAUCUUGUACUUAGGAAAACAUAAUUAUAUAUAUAUAUAUAUGUGCUAACUGUUACAUCGCACAAUUUGCACAUGUUAUUUGUGGCCAGAUUUUGACUUUGUCAUAAUUUAUGCAGAUUACUCAUGUUGAAGAUCUAAAAUUUUACCUUUAUAUGAGGACAAAUUCUUUUUUAUCACCUUAUUAUCUCGAUAAAUGUUCAACUUAGUGGAUAUUAUCUACACAGAAAGAAUUAUUUCUAAUUUUUUGUAUAUCUCAAAACCAUCAUAUUUUAUGCUUGAACCUGGAUAUUUUGUUCAUUGUAAAUGUACUGUAUACAAGUCAUA
Molecule: long non-coding RNA, 1900 nt
Organism: Nicrophorus vespilloides
Lineage: Eukaryota; Metazoa; Arthropoda; Insecta; Coleoptera; Silphidae
Exons: 6
Source: RefSeq, a predicted model, not a curated record